Rhinichthys klamathensis goyatoka is the source of this 289-nucleotide long non-coding RNA. RefSeq lists it as uncharacterized. The record is from RefSeq and is a predicted model, not a curated record. NCBI's taxonomy places the organism in Eukaryota, Metazoa, Chordata, Actinopteri, Cypriniformes, Leuciscidae. The transcript has 2 exons.
GUCGUAUCCGGACAGCGGUUCUCCUCGGUCGCGUGCACGUUGGGUCUUUUGCUUUGGCAAGGAAGAUCUAUUGGAAGAAUGAAGACUGUGUUAGAAUAGUCUCGGAAGCAAAUGCAAGCGGAGGGCAAAGCCACUGCGUAGUGCGCUGUCACGAACUCGCAAAACAUUUACCCCGAUCCUCUGUCGACGGUCUUUUCCUCGGCGUAGAGAGCGCCGUUCGGCAAUCCGUCCGACUCCCGGUCUCCGUGCUGUCAGAGUCCCCCUCUACGCUCUCCAGGGAGGGAGUUGU